GUGAGGAAUAUUGGUCAAUGGUCGGAAGACUGAACCAGCCAUGCCGCGUGCAGGAAGACGGUCCUAUGGAUUUUAAACUGCUUUUAUUCGGGGAUAAACCUCCUUACGUGUAGGGAGCUGAAGGUACCGAAAGAAUAAGCACCGGCUAACUCCGUGCCAGCAGCCGCGGUAAUACGGAGGGUGCAAGCGUUAUCCGGAAUCAUUGGGUUUAAAGGGUCCGCAGGCGGGAUUGUAAGUCAGUGGUGAAAUCCGGCAGCUCAACUGUCGCACUGCUAUUGAUACUGCAGUCCUUGAAUUCGAUUGGAGUGGGCAGAAUAUGUCAUGUAGCGGUGAAAUGCUUAGAUAUGACAUAGAACACCGAUAGCGAAGGCAGCUCACUAAGUCUGAAUUGACGCUCAUGGACGAAAGCGCGGGUAGCAAACAGGAUUAGAAACCCCGGUAGUCC
RNAcentral lists this ribosomal RNA (445 nucleotides) under uncultured bacterium. RNAcentral describes it as "partial 16S ribosomal RNA". It matches the Rfam family "Bacterial small subunit ribosomal RNA", at positions 354 to 796 of the family's 1533-position model. The record is from RNAcentral.